UAGAGUUUGAUCCUGGCUCAAGAUGAACUUUUGCGGCGUGCUUAACACAUGCAAGUCAAACGAAACACCUUAUCUGAUUCUCUUCGGAACUGAAGAUUUGGUGAUUGAGUGGCGGACGGGUGAUUAACGCGUGGGUAACCUACCCUGUACGGGGGGAUAACAGUCAGAAAUGACUGCUAAUACCGCAUAAGACCACAGCGCCGCAUGGGGCAGGGGUAAAACCUCCGGUGGUACAGGAUGGACCCGCGUCUGAUUAGCUGGUUGGUGAGGUAACGGCUCACCAAGGCGACGAUCAGUAGCCGGCUUGAGAGAGUGAACGGCCACAUUGGGACUGAGACACGGCCCAAACUCCUACGGGAGGCAGCAGUGGGGAGUAUUGCACAAUGGGGAAACCCUGAUGCAGCGACGCCGCGUGAGCGAAGAAGUAUUUCGGUAUGUAAAGCUCUAUCAGCAGGGAAGAAGAAAUGACGGUACCUGACUAAGAAGCACCGGCUAAAUACGUGCCAGCAGCCGCGGUAAUACGUAUGGUGCAAGCGUUAUCCGGAUUUACUGGGUGUAAAGGGAGCGCAGGCGGAAGGCUAAGUCUGAUGUGAAAGCCCGGGGCUCAACCCCGGUACUGCAUUGGAAACUGGUCAUCUAGAGUGUCGGAGGGGUAAGUGGAAUUCCUAGUGUAGCGGUGAAAUGCGUAGAUAUUAGGAGGAACACCAGUGGCGAAGGCGGCUUACUGGACGAUAACUGACGCUGAGGCUCGAAAGCGUGGGGAGCAAACAGGAUUAGAUACCCUGGUAGUCCACGCCGUAAACGAU
RNAcentral lists this ribosomal RNA (806 nucleotides) under uncultured bacterium. Its description in RNAcentral is "bacterial SSU rRNA". It matches the Rfam family "Bacterial small subunit ribosomal RNA", at positions 1 to 810 of the family's 1533-position model. The record is from RNAcentral.